Chenopodium quinoa (quinoa) is the source of this 1731-nucleotide RNA transcript. RefSeq lists it as uncharacterized. Lineage: Eukaryota; Viridiplantae; Streptophyta; Magnoliopsida; Caryophyllales; Amaranthaceae. The transcript has 3 exons. The record is from RefSeq and is a predicted model, not a curated record.
AUUAAGAGCUGAACUGAACUGAAAUGAAAUCUUUACCCCUUAAAAAGUCCCAAGCACCAGGACUGUAGUGAGUUUUAUUGUUCCUUAGGAACAACGGAUUGACGCCCUUGCCCUUAGCCCCUGAACUGGAUUGCCUAAAUUUCCAGGGCUAUUUUAGUCUUUGUGUAUUAGCAUGCUAUCUGUCAUAUGUCGGCUGACGCGUGUCCUUGUCUCCCCUGCUAUUAGCAUCUUUGCCUUUCAUCUUCUUCAUUUCAUUUUAAUCUUCUUCCUUUCGUUCUUUGUUAGGUAUUGUCUUUGCUUUAGGCUUUUUUUUCUUUCCUUUUUUUGUUGUUGUUGUUUUCCUUAUAACUUCUUUGGUUUUUGCAGCUGUUAUUCAUGGAGUGGUUUGAUGGAGUUUCUUUGGUCGCAGCUUUGGAUUUGGUUGUUUCACAGUGUGAGGUUUUUGCAACUGGAGCUAUUUGUGCUGUUACAAUUACUUACUUCUAUUAUUGGUUAUGGCUAUUCAGUCCAACAGAAUUGCCAUUCCAUUUCGACCUCUUUUAGGUCAAAUGGUUGAUUUUUCUGAACCUGUUUAUGAUUUCAUAGACAAGGCUAGGAACAAUGCCUGUGUUCGUGUUAAGACUGAGAAUGGCAAAUCUGAAUUUGUGUUCUUUGGUGGGGAAGCCAAUGCAGUUCAUGAGUCACAAGAAAGGGCAGCUCAAAAAGCUGUGCAGAAAUUGAUGAGCCAUUUUGGGGUGCGAGUGAGUGAUUUUACCUCUGAUAGAGCAAGAAUGUAUCAGCUAUGCAGCAAGCUUUAUAAACAUAAGGUUGCUGAGUUAUGUUCUGAGAAAGGAUUAGAAGUGCCUAGCUAAUUCACAGAGCAAUUUAGGCAAGAAAUCUUCUGAUGAAGUUCUUCAUGUAACGAUUGACUUUGUAGGUUUCUUAGGUGUUAUUGUUACACAAACAGGUGCAGAUGUAAGUCCAUUAGAGACUAUUUGGGUGAAAGGCUUGGGCUUUGUAGCUUGGUUAACAGUGACUUGUCUGCAUAGUAGAGGUGAAUUGGAGUGCAUAUAUAGUGAUGCUUGUCCUGAAAUAAAUAGUGCUAUGCAGAAGGCUGCUAAGAGAGCUAUACAUUACUUGGUGACUAGAUACAACCUAGAAAUUGUUGAUGCUAAUUACGGUGUUUCUUUGGAGAAGAGCGCUGCUUGUAGUGCUUUAAAAGAAAGAUUUUAUCAAUUAAAGAGGUGCUUAGCUGCGAGGGAAGAAAUGUUUGCUGAUGAUGAAUGUUUGACUCCUAAUUCUAAAAGAAAUCAGAUACCCAAGAUUAGUUUGCCUCCAGCUGCUCCAAUCAGAAGACGCUCAACAACACCAUUAAGUGCUGCAUCUUCUUCUCGCACUGAGCCUUUGGUUUAUGGGAUACCUGAAUUAGAGACUGUUUGGAAGCGUGCAAAGUUUGUUUAGCUUGUUUGUAGUCUUCAUCUAAUAUUUUGGACGGCAUGACCUUUAUUGAAUUACCUGAUCUAGGUUUACUAUGGACAAAUGCCUGUUAUUAUCUAGGAUGUUAUUUCUUCUUUUGGUUUUUAAGUUAGGUCUGUUUGUAGUGCUUGUAGAAGUAUUUCAGCAACAAACUAUCCUUGUAUGUUGAGCUGAAAUACAUUGUAAUGCGUAUUUUCAAUAUAAUGUAAUGUAAUUCUAUUUUGAAUAUAAUUAUUCAGGAAAAUCUUAUAACUUGGUCAUUGAUUGUUUAUUUUU